This 253-nucleotide ribosomal RNA is filed under the name uncultured bacterium. RNAcentral describes it as "partial 16S ribosomal RNA". It matches the Rfam family "Bacterial small subunit ribosomal RNA", at positions 524 to 776 of the family's 1533-position model. The record is from RNAcentral.
UACGUAGGUGGCAAGCGUUGUCCGGAUUUACUGGGCGUAAAGAGCGCGCAGGCGGUCGUUCAAGUCGCGUGUGAAAGCCCCCGGCUCAACUGGGGAGGGUCACGCGAUACUGAUCGACUCGAAGGCAGGAGAGGGUAGUGGAAUUCCCGGUGUAGUGGUGAAAUGCGUAGAGAUCGGCAGGAACACCCAGGGGGAAACCAGCCGGCUGGGGACGGGCUGACGCUCAGGGGCGAAAGCGUGGGGAGCGAACCGG